AGGGUUUGAUCCUGGCUCAGAGCGAACGUUGGCGAUGCGUCUUAAGCAUGCAAGUCGAGCGGGCUUAUUCGGGCAACUGGAUAAGUUAGCGGCGAACUGGUGAGUAACACGUAGGUAAUCUGCCGUAGAGUGGGGGAUAACCCAUGGAAACAUGGACUAAUACCGCAUAUACUCUUGACGCUAAAGCGUAGUAGAGGAAAGGAGCAAUCCGCUUUACGAUGAGCCUGCGGCCUAUUAGCCUGUUGGUGAGAUAAAAGCCCACCAAAGCUACGAUAGGUAGCCGACCUGAGAGGGUGACCGGCCACAUUGGGACUGAGAUACGGCCCAG
RNAcentral lists this ribosomal RNA (328 nucleotides) under uncultured bacterium. Its description in RNAcentral is "bacterial SSU rRNA". It matches the Rfam family "Bacterial small subunit ribosomal RNA", at positions 8 to 334 of the family's 1533-position model. The record is from RNAcentral.